This 73-nucleotide transfer RNA is filed under the name Polyangiaceae bacterium. Its description in RNAcentral is "tRNA-Asn". It matches the Rfam family "tRNA". From Rfam's summary of the family: Transfer RNA (tRNA) molecules are approximately 80 nucleotides in length. Their secondary structure includes four short double-helical elements and three loops (D, anti-codon, and T loops). Further hydrogen bonds mediate the characteristic L-shaped molecular structure. tRNAs have two regions of fundamental functional importance: the anti-codon, which is responsible for specific mRNA codon recognition, and the 3' end, to which the tRNAs corresponding amino acid is attached (by aminoacyl-tRNA synthetases). tRNAs cope with the degeneracy of the genetic code in two manners: having more than one tRNA (with a specific anti-codon) for a particular amino acid; and 'wobble' base-pairing, i.e. permitting non-standard base-pairing at the 3rd anti-codon position. The record is from RNAcentral. Lineage: Bacteria; Pseudomonadati; Myxococcota; Polyangiales; Polyangiaceae.
UCCAACGUAGCUCAGUUGGUAGAGCAGGUGACUGUUAAUCACCGGGUCGUAGGUACGAGCCCUACCGUUGGAG